This is a long non-coding RNA of Arabidopsis lyrata subsp. lyrata, 390 nucleotides long. RefSeq lists it as uncharacterized. The record is from RefSeq and is a predicted model, not a curated record. NCBI's taxonomy places the organism in Eukaryota, Viridiplantae, Streptophyta, Magnoliopsida, Brassicales, Brassicaceae. The transcript has 3 exons.
UUAUUAUGUAACGUAAUAAUCGUUUUAUGUUUAAUUUAUAUAUUUGUUUCUCUGAUGUUUUAGACCACACGGAAUUGGCGUAGAAGAUUUGUUGCUCCGUCGUGUUUUACGGAUCGCGUGGGCUUUUGUAAGCAUGUUUUGAGUGGGCUGAAGUAUUCACUACGACCGAAUAUUUUGAAAGAGAGGACUGAGAUUGGAAGCAAAGCUAGGAGUUACAGCAGUAUCUAUUUGUUGUUUAGUUAUAUUGCUAAGGGUAGUGAUGUAUCUGUUGAUAAAUACGGAUCAUACCCUUUGGUGUUUGGUAUUGAUCAAACCGUACCAAAUUUUGGAUCGGGGCCUAUAUUUGAAGACUCUGAUGAUGAGUAAUUAUUUUAUUUGAAUUUGUUGCUA